CNUGCGCUGCUAAUACAUGCAAGUCGAGCGGACAGAUGGGAGCUUGCUCCCUGAUGUUAGCGGCGGACGGGUGAGUAACACGUGGGUAACCUGCCUGUAAGACUGGGAUAACUCCGGGAAACCGGGGCUAAUACCGGAUGCUUGUUUGAACCGCAUGGUUCAAACAUAAAAGGUGGCUUCGGCUACCACUUACAGAUGGACCCGCGGCGCAUUAGCUAGUUGGUGAGGUAAUGGCUCACCAAGGCAACGAUGCGUAGCCGACCUGAGAGGGUGAUCGGCCACACUGGGACUGAGACACGGCCCAGACUCCUACGGGAGGCAGCAGUAGGGAAUCUUCCGCAAUGGACGAAAGUCUGACGGAGCAACGCCGCGUGAGUGAUGAAGGUUUUCGGAUCGUAAAGCUCUGUUGUUAGGGAAGAACAAGUACCGUUCGAAUAGGGCGGUACCUUGACGGUACCUAACCAGAAAGCCACGGCUAACUACGUGCCAGCCGCCGCGGUAAUUCAA
Molecule: ribosomal RNA, 507 nt
Filed under: Bacillus halotolerans
Lineage: Bacteria; Bacillati; Bacillota; Bacilli; Caryophanales; Bacillaceae
Description: bacterial SSU rRNA
Rfam family: Bacterial small subunit ribosomal RNA
Source: RNAcentral